ACCAGACUCCUACGGGAGGCAGCAGUGGGGAAUAUUGCACAAUGGGGGAAACCCUGAUGCAGCAACGCCGCGUGAGUGAAGAAGUAUUUCGGUAUGUAAAGCUCUAUCAGCAGGGAAGAAAAUGACGGUACCUGACUAAGAAGCUCCGGCUAAAUACGUGCCAGCAGCCGCGGUAAUACGUAUGGAGCAAGCGUUAUCCGGAUUUACUGGGUGUAAAGGGAGCGCAGGCGGUACGGCAAGUCCGAUGUGAAAACCCGGGGCUCAACCCCGGGACUGCAUUGGAAACUGCCGCACUAGAGUGCCGGAGAGGUAAGUGGAAUUCCUAGUGUAGCGGUGAAAUGCGUAGAUAUUAGGAGGAACACCAGUGGCGAAGGCGGCUUACUGGACGGUAACUGACGCUGAGGCUCGAAAGCGUGGGGAGCAAACAGGAUUAGAUACCCGGGUA
This 445-nucleotide ribosomal RNA is filed under the name uncultured bacterium. RNAcentral describes it as "bacterial SSU rRNA". It matches the Rfam family "Bacterial small subunit ribosomal RNA", at positions 330 to 792 of the family's 1533-position model. The record is from RNAcentral.